AGAUUGAACGCUGGCGGCAUGCCUUACACAUGCAAGUCGAACGGCAGCACGGGAGCAAUCCUGGUGGCGAGUGGCGAACGGGUGAGUAAUACAUCGGAACGUGCCCAAUCGUGGGGGAUAACGCAGCGAAAGCUGUGCUAAUACCGCAUAAGAUCUACGGAUGAAAGCAGGGGAUCGCAAGACCUUGCGCGAAUGGAGCGGCCGAUGGCAGAUUAGGUAGUUGGUGAGGUAAAGGCUCACCAAGCCUUCGAUCUGUAGCUGGUCUGAGAGGACGACCAGCCACACUGGGACUGAGACACGGCCCAGACUCCUACGGGAGGCAGCAGUCGGGGAAUUUUGGACAAGUGGGCGAAAGCCUGAUCCAGCCAUGCCGCGUGCAGGAUGAAGCCGUUCGGUUGUAAACUGCUUUACGUACGUAACGAAAGU
This 426-nucleotide ribosomal RNA is filed under the name uncultured soil bacterium. RNAcentral's name for it is "bacterial SSU rRNA". It matches the Rfam family "Bacterial small subunit ribosomal RNA", at positions 26 to 453 of the family's 1533-position model. The record is from RNAcentral.